UACGUAGGUGACAAGCGUUGUCCGGAUUUACUGGGCGUAAAGAGCGCGCAGGCGGUCGAUCAAGUCGAGUGUGAAAGCCCCCGGCUCAACUGGGGAGGGUCAUUCGAUACUGAUCGACUCGAAGGCAGGAGAGUGUAGUGGAAUUCCCGGUGUAGUGGUGAAAUGCGUAGAUAUCGGGAGGAACACCAGUGGCGAAGGCGACUACCUGGCCUGUUCUUGACGCUGAGGCGCGAAAGCUAGGGGAGCAAACGGG
Molecule: ribosomal RNA, 253 nt
Filed under: uncultured bacterium
Lineage: Bacteria
Description: partial 16S ribosomal RNA
Rfam family: Bacterial small subunit ribosomal RNA
Source: RNAcentral